ACGGUGACCUGUUCACCGCCGGCGAGUCCUGCUCAGCGUUGGGGGGCUCGUAUCAGCGUGUGGUGUGGGACGAGGAAGUCGCCGACAACGCGUGGAUCGACUUCGUGGACGCUGACAAGGCGAUCCCCGAAUACAAGUGGGGCCGGCUUACUGCGGUCACGUUCUGGUCUGAGCUCGCGGGUUCGGAUGAGCGGGACGUGUGGCGGCACCUCGAACGAUACGAGAAGGGCCGCAUCGUCCACUCCCUCUACAAGGGGACACCGACGAACCUCGGUAGCGCAAUGGACCUGGACGCCCACGAUGACACCGCAGGGAUCACCCUCAACGGCUUCGACGACGAGA
Molecule: unclassified non-coding RNA, 342 nt
Filed under: uncultured bacterium
Lineage: Bacteria
Description: contains 16S-23S intergenic spacer region
Source: RNAcentral